This 71-nucleotide transfer RNA is filed under the name Marmota monax (woodchuck). Its description in RNAcentral is "tRNA.Ala". Lineage: Eukaryota; Metazoa; Chordata; Mammalia; Rodentia; Sciuridae. The record is from RNAcentral.
GGGGAUGUGGCUCAGUGGUAGAGCGUUCCCCUAGCACAGGCAAGGCCCUGGGUUCAGUCCUCAGCACCACA